Molecule: ribosomal RNA, 408 nt
Filed under: candidate division WWE3 bacterium RIFOXYC1_FULL_39_7
Lineage: Bacteria; candidate division WWE3
Description: bacterial LSU rRNA
Rfam family: Bacterial large subunit ribosomal RNA
Source: RNAcentral
UUUGGCACCUCGAUGUCGUCUCGUCACAUCCUGGAGCUGGAGCAGGUUCCAAGGGUCCGGCUGUUCGCCGGUUAAAGUGGCGCGUUAGAUGGGUUCAGUACGUCGUGAGACAGUACGGUCUCUUUCCACAACGAGCGUUUAGAGUUUGAGGGGACUCAUUUCUAGUACGAGAGGACCGAAAUGAUCAAACCGCUAGUGUACCAGUUGUCGUACCAACGGCAUCGCUGGGUAGCUACGUUUGGACGUGAUAAGUGCUGAAAGCAUCUAAGCACGAAGCACACCCCAAGAUGAAACUCUUUCAGCUAUAAGCUGACGCAACUCCUGGGAGAUCACCAGGUUGAUAGGUUGUAGGUGUAAGCACAGUAAUGUGUUCAGCCAAGCAAUACUAAUAGUUGCGCGUCUUCACCU